This is a non-coding RNA of Sus scrofa (pig), 4410 nucleotides long. NCBI's taxonomy places the organism in Eukaryota, Metazoa, Chordata, Mammalia, Artiodactyla, Suidae. The record is from RefSeq and is a predicted model, not a curated record.
UCAUCGGUAAACACAGCCAGUCAUGGAUACGGAGGCAGCUCUGUUUGCCCUGGAGAUAAAGCCACCACCGUGGCAGGGCCUCCGUGGGGAGGGGGAAGGGGGUCAGCCAAGGGGCAUUCAACUCUGUGUGAUGCUGUGUCUGAGAGGGACCCCGACGUCUCAGGCUGGGAGAAAUCCUCAGGAGUCAUCCUGUCACUUCGUCGCAGUAAUCCAGGGGCAGAAGGCUGGGCCGUGCCCGUGGCGGGUUGCCGGGGGGGGAACGCCCUGAGGCCGCCGUUCCUGCAGCCUGCUUCACUGCUCUGAAGCUGAGCUCUGAUGUCCCCUGGGUGGCCAUUCUUCAAAGUCCAACCAGAGUUGCCCUGAUCCUCUGCUCCUGUCUAUACUUCUCAGCUCGGAGCCAGGGCCGUCGAGGGCAGGUUGGGCUCCAGCUCCAAGCCUGCCUCCAUCACUGUGGAGAGUGUGAGCCAAGCUUCUCCCCCGGGAAACCGGCGCCUCACUGGGACUGGGGUUUGCUGUUUGCUUCAGUCUGCAUGCUUGUUGGUGAAGACACGCAUCGAUCCCCCAGCUGGUGUGGGAGGUGACCUGGGCCAGGCUGCUGAGGCGUAAGAUCUGUAACAGGCCCUGUGACCCCGUCUUUUUUUUUUUUUUUUUUUAAAUUAGACUUGAUUUACAAUGUCCUGUCAACUUCUGCUCUGCAGCAAAGUGACCAAGUUAUAAUAUCUGUGAUCCUGUUUUUAUUUGAGGAUUUGCUAUUUUGUUCAUCACAGAGCUUUUUUUGGGGGGGGGGGCAUUUACCUUGACUUCCCAAAAUGCUGCAUUAUGAAUCUGGAUCCCCCAGUCGUUUGGUGCUCCCUUCAGUUUGGGGCUGUCAGCUGCCGCCCUGGCUGCACCUGCCCAGUCCUGCUCUUCCUGAACGAAUCAGAAAGUCAUGGAUGGACAGGAGACGGAUCGCCCCAGGCAGCUCGGCCAUGGAGUCCCAGCCUCCGCUACAGGGAGGGUCAAAAGCCCUGCCUGGCUCUGUGGUUUGCAGAAACUUGAAGCCUCUUAAACUUUCCUGAGUGCCAGCCGCCUCCUGGGAGCCAGGAGGGCCAGGGAUGUGCCGGCUGCCCUGACUGCCUGCUCUGCCCACUAGAUGGCGCCCUGGCUGCACAGGUGAGCAUGGCGCCCCCUCCCCCGCUCCCCGUCCUGAGCCAGCCCAGCUCCUGGGAAGUGCGUGCCAGUUUGGAGAACACCUGUUCAGUUGAUCCCCGCUGCAGGCCUCAAGCACAGAGGACACUGAGCCACGGAGAGGACAAGGAUAUAAAGGUUGCAGGAAAGAGAACAGGAGUUUUCCCAACAGGACCAGCUACUCUGUAAGACUCCCGAGCCCGUGGUUUUCCUGGAAUUACCGAAGCAGAUUUCUCAGAUCUCAAGACAGCCUUCUCUUGGCCACAUACCUCCAAGCACCUGUUUUAUCAGUCUGUCAUUGUUGGUUCUUUGAAUCAAUUCCUUUUUUAAACUUAAACUUAUUUAAAGAAGCGGUCUAAAUCACCUAUAGCAGGUGUGAAUUCAGAGGUUUGCUAUUUUCUUCAUGCACAUAAAAAUCAAUGCGUAAGUAUUCAACUGAAAAAUGAUACGGUGUGUUUCCCUAAAGGCACCUCUUUCACCCCAUGGCGUAUGUGAGGGGUUGUCUCCUUUGGAAGCUGCCGGUGGGUCUUGAAAACAAGUAGAUAGACUAGGCGGGAGGGAGGAGAGGCCCUGGCAUCAGUGGAGAUACGGCAAAGGAUUCAGCAGGGGGGGAAGCGCCCCCCCCCCCCAGUUAAAGAGAAAAGGAAGCGAAGGGGGGGAUAUUUUUGUAGAAAACACGCAAUGGAGUCCUAGAGUGUCGUUGCUCAAUAGAGCCUUUGAGAAAGAGCUUAAGAGAGCGAGCUGGGAUGAAAACACUGAUGCAACGUGGUUGCCACCCGCAUCCAAUCCCCCUCCAGCCUGGGCCAGUUCCCAAGAGCACAUCUUACACCUGACUCUUAGAACCGCGCUUCUCAGCUGCGGUCCCCGGGCCACCAGCAUCAGCACCACCUGGGCGCUUGUGAGAGAUGCAGACCUGGGGCCCCAGCUCCAGCCCUGGAGGGAGUCCAAUGGAUGCUAAUGUUUGAGAACCACUGUUCUAGAAGCCCUGUUAUGCAGGAAACAGGAGGCCAUCAGCAAGGAGACCUGAGUUCUCGGCCAGAUCUGUAGCCAACUACCUGUGACCUGAGGUCAAAUCGUCAAAUCGCUCACAGCCUCGGGUGCCUCAUCCGCAAAGUGAGGAGAUGCCUGGUGCGGAGCGGAGGUUCCCAGCCCAGAGGUACAGUGGAGUCACCUGGGCAGCUUCUCGAAUAGGAUGCCGCUACGCCAGAGAGCCGAGAGUCAGCCCUCAACAUCCCCCAUUCCACAGCUUUGUAUUCAUCCCACCUCGGAUUUACAUAGUAUUUACAACUAUUUACAUAACAUUUACAUUGUAUUUACAACUAUUUACAUAACAUUUACAUAUAUUAGGCAUUAUACGAAAUCUAGGGAUGAUUUCAAGUAUAGGGGAGGAUGGCUGUACAUUUUAUGUCAAAAAAAAAACCAUUUCAUAUAAGGGACUUGGACAUUCUUAGACUUUGGGGUCUUCCAUGGUCCUCAGACACUGAGGGGUGACUGUACUUGAUAAUUCUGUUGGUACUAAGUUCUAGAACAGGCAAAACCUACAAUGGGAAUACGCAGAACAGUGGCGGUCUGGAAGAGAUGGGUGGGCUGACCCCGAAGAGGCAGGAAGGAAUUGCUGGGGUGAUGGUACUGUUUGGUCUCCAUGGGAAUGUGGGUUACUCAGGUGUAUGCAUGUGUCAAAACCUUGCUGACCGGUGUGCUUAAGGCUUGUGCGUUUUAUUGCAAACAUAUUUUACCCCAAAAGCAAAAACAAAGGGGGGUAAACCAAUGCUGGACUCGUUUAGAGUAUGUGCUGAAGUGUUUAAGGGUGAAAGGCACCGAUGUCCCAAUUCAUUUUGAAAUAUUUGAACUGUAAGACGGCUUGUUGACUGGAUAGAGAGAAGCGGCUCUAGUAGGAUAGGUAGGUGACAACGUGCGUAAAAGCAGAUGUCAGUUGGAGAAUCCAGGGGGUGGGUGUGUGGGCCUUCACUGCAAAGUUCUAUCACGUUUUCGUUAAGUUCGAACGUCGUUAUCCCAACACGUUGGAGGCAACCUCUGAUGCCGCUGCUCUACACUCACACCUGUGAAAGCAGGCUCCUUCCUAAGCUAAAACCUCCACCAGCGGAGGCAGCUGCCCUUCUUCCUCCGGAGUAACCGGUUUUAAGCCUUCCAUGCACAGACGCUCCAGGGAGGGGGGACACCGGGGGAGGGAGUGGUUUUUACUGCUGGUGAUGGAUUUAUUGGGCUGGAAUCUUCCCACAGGUAACGAUGAUGGCAAAGGCUUGGGGGGCGGGCACCGGGGCCCCCUUGCUGUUAGACCCCUUCACCCCUCAGCUGUAGGCAUUCGGCCAUCAGUUCUCCGGGUGCGAGUUCGGGGCUCGGCUCUACACACCUGCUACCUGCCUCUGCCACCAGGGGGAGCUGUCACCCCGGCAGUUGCCUGAAACUCCCCCAAUACUCAGCCCACAGCUUGGAAUGCUUCUCUGUGCCCGCUCUUCCAGGAGGCCCGCUUCCCCUGUUCAUCCAUCGCCUCCCUCAGAGGACGGAGCCUCCUGGCCUUGGGCCGUCCUUGCGGAUCUGCGCAGUCUCUGACGCGCACACCGCCCCCGCCCCAUCCUUCGCACCCUUGCCGGGGCACCGUGAGGUCCACGGUCAGCGAGCACUCACCUCUCCUGGGCAUGGUCUCCUGGCUCUGCCGCACUGCCCACCUCGCCCGGUGCCCUCUCUCCAGGAUGUUCUCUCUCUUGUACACCCCGCAGGCUGCAGCAUCCUGCAGGGGGCAGCAUGCCCUGGGCAUCAAAGGCGUUCCUCUUCCUCCCUGCUCAAAACCCAGCCUAUCAGCUGCUGGCCGUCCCUGGCCGUCUCAUUUCGAGGACUCCCUCCCUCCUCCUGCUUUAUUCUCCGGGACCCACGUGACGGACCAUCCUACCCCCGGGUUUCUCGGUGGCUUGACCUCCGGGGAACUUCCCAGCACUCUGGCCCAGCCAACCCUUCCUCUGCUCACAGCCGGGACCCUGCCUUCAUCGGGAGGAGGGGUCCGGGCCCCCCCUGCCCCACUGGCUCUAGCACUUCUGCAGGCCUCACCCAGAGCUCCCAUCGUCUCACGGAACCACUCCCUUCCUCCCGCAUGUCCUUGGUCUAAGCAGCUCCCUUGUCUCUCUCCUGCCAUGUCCCCCACUGAGCACAUCGCAGCGUGCUCCACGCACACUGGCUGAAGUCCCCUGCACCCAGGUGGCCCAGCAUCCCCCCUGCUUUCCCCAUGGG